RNAcentral lists this ribosomal RNA (253 nucleotides) under uncultured bacterium. Its description in RNAcentral is "partial 16S ribosomal RNA". It matches the Rfam family "Bacterial small subunit ribosomal RNA", at positions 524 to 776 of the family's 1533-position model. The record is from RNAcentral.
UACGUAGGGUGCAAGCGUUAAUCGGAAUUACUGGGCGUAAAGCGUGCGUAGACGGUAGCGUAAGUCGGGUGUGAAAGCCCCGGGCUCAACCUGGGAAUUGCAUUCGAGACUGCUCUGCUAGGGUGCGGAAGAGGGAAGCGGAAUUUCCGGUGUAGCGGUGAAAUGCGUAGAUAUCGGAAGGAACACCGGUGGCGAAGGCGGCCUUCUGGACAGUGACUGACGCUGAGACGCGAAAGCGUGGGGAGCAAACAGG